This 644-nucleotide ribosomal RNA is filed under the name uncultured Chromohalobacter sp. RNAcentral's name for it is "bacterial SSU rRNA". It matches the Rfam family "Bacterial small subunit ribosomal RNA", at positions 338 to 974 of the family's 1533-position model. Lineage: Bacteria; Pseudomonadati; Pseudomonadota; Gammaproteobacteria; Oceanospirillales; Halomonadaceae. The record is from RNAcentral.
CCUACGGGAGGCAGCAGUGGGGAAUAUUGGACAAUGGGAGCAAGCCUGAUCCAGCCAUGCCGCGUGUGUGAAGAAGGCUUUCGGGUUGUAAAGCACUUUCAGCGAGGAAGAAAGCGUGCCGUUUAAUACCCGGUACGGACGACAUCACUCGCAGAAGAAGCACCGGCUAACUCCGUGCCAGCAGCCGCGGUAAUACGGAGGGUGCAAGCGUUAAUCGGAAUUACUGGGCGUAAAGCGCGCGUAGGCGGCGUGUCACGCCGGGUGUGAAAGCCCCGGGCUCAACCUGGGAACGGCAUCCGGAACGGGCAGGCUAGAGUGCAGGAGAGGAAGGUAGAAUUCCCGGUGUAGCGGUGAAAUGCGUAGAGAUCGGGAGGAAUACCAGUGGCGAAGGCGGCCUUCUGGCCUGACACUGACGCUGAGGUGCGAAAGCGUGGGUAGCAAACAGGAUUAGAUACCCUGGUAGUCCACGCCGUAAACGAUGUCGACUAGCCGUUGGGUCCCUUGAGGACUUAGUGGCGCAGUUAACGCGAUAAGUCGACCGCCUGGGGAGUACGGCCGCAAGGUUAAAACUCAAAUGAAUUGACGGGGGCCCGCACAAGCGGUGGAGCAUGUGGUUUAAUUCGAUGCAACGCGAAGAACCUUAC